GCCCUUCUCUAGACUGCGGUGCCAGCAGCCGCGGUAAUACGGGAGUGGCAAGCGUUAUCCGGAAUUAUUGGGCGUAAAGCGUCCGCAGGCGGCUUUUCAAGUCUGCUGUUAAAGCGUGGAGCUUAACUCCAUCAUGGCAGGGGAAACUGAAAGGCUUGAGUAUGGUAGGGGCAGAGGGAAUUCCCGGUGUAGCGGUGAAAUGCGUAGAUAUCGGGAAGAACACCAGUGGCGAAGGCGCUCUGCUGGGCCAUUACUGACGCUCAUGGACGAAAGCCAGGGGAGCGAAAGGGAUUAGAUACCCCUGUAGUCCUGGGCGUAAACGAUGAACACUAGGUGUCGGGGGAAUCGACCCCCUCGGUGUCGUAGCUAACGCGUUAAGUGUUCCGCCUCGGGGAGUACGCACGCAAGUGUGAAAAUCAAAGGAAUUGACGGGGGGCCCGCACAAGCGGUGGGAGUAUGGGGGUUAAUUCCAUGCCACGCGAAAAACCCUACCAGGGUUUGACAUCCUGCGAACCUCUUAAAAAUUUUAAGGGUGCCUUCCGAGAAGCCGAGGAAAGUGGGUGCAUGGCUGUCGUCAGCUCAUGUCGGAGAUAGUGUGUUUAAAUUCCCGCAACGACGGCAACCCGGUUUUUAGUUGCCCCCAUUAAUUGGGGCCUCUCAAAAAGACGGCGGGGGAUAAACCGCGAGAAAGGGGGGAUGAAGCCCAACCUCCUGGGCCCUUACCCCUGGGAAACAACGGCAUAAAGGAAAUCCCAAACCGGGGGGUGGUUUAAAAAGAAAGUCAC
Molecule: ribosomal RNA, 785 nt
Filed under: uncultured bacterium
Lineage: Bacteria
Description: partial 16S ribosomal RNA
Rfam family: Bacterial small subunit ribosomal RNA
Source: RNAcentral